RNAcentral lists this ribosomal RNA (467 nucleotides) under uncultured bacterium. RNAcentral describes it as "bacterial SSU rRNA". It matches the Rfam family "Bacterial small subunit ribosomal RNA", at positions 28 to 481 of the family's 1533-position model. The record is from RNAcentral.
GAUGAACGCUAGCUACAGGCUUAACACAUGCAAGUCGAGGGCAGCGAUGAACUUAGCUUGCUAAGUUUGAUGGCGACCGGCGCACGGGUGAGUAACACGUAUCCAACCUUCCGUUUACUCAGGGAUAGCCUUUCGAAAGAAAGAUUAAUACCUGAUAGUAUGGUGAGAUUGCAUGAUAACACCAUUAAAGAUUUAUUGGUAAACGAUGGGGAUGCGUUCCAUUAGGUAGUAGGCGGGGUAACGGCCCACCUAGCCUGCGAUGGAUAGGGGUUCUGAGAGGGAAGGUCCCCCCACAUUGGAACUGAGACACGGUCCAAACUCCUACGGGAGGCAGCAGUGAGGAAUAUUGGGUCAAUGGACCGAGAGUCUGAACCAGCCAAGUAGCGUGAAGGAUGAAGGUCCUACGGAUUGUAAACUUCUUUUAUACGGGAAUAAAGUGAGGCAUGUGUGCCUUUUUGAUGUACCGU